Molecule: ribosomal RNA, 497 nt
Filed under: uncultured bacterium
Lineage: Bacteria
Description: partial 16S ribosomal RNA
Rfam family: Bacterial small subunit ribosomal RNA
Source: RNAcentral
GAUGAACGCUGGCGGCGUGCCUAAUACAUGCAAGUCUAUCGUACAUAUUAAGAGCUUGCUCCUCUCUCGUUAGCUGCGCCCGGGUGAGUAACACGUCACUAACCUACCUAUAAAACUGGGAUAACUUCGGCAAACCGGCGCUAAUACCGGAUAAUAUAUUUAACCGCAUGGUUCAAUAGUGAAAGCCGGUUUUGCUGUCACUUAUCGAUGGAUCCGCGCCGCAUUAGCUAGUUGGUAAGGUAAACGCUUACCAAGACAACGAUGCGUAGCCGACCUGAGAGGGGGAUCGGCCACACUGGAAGGGAGAAACGGUCCAGACUACAAUGGGAGGGAGCAGUAGGGAAUCUGCAGCAAAGGGCGAAAGUCUGAAGGAGCAACGCCGAGUGAGUGAGGAAGGUGCUCGGAUCGUAAAACACUGUUAGUAGGGAAGAACAAAGGUGUAAGUAACUAUGCACGUCUUGACGGUACCUAAGCAGAAAGCUACGGAUAACUACGUG